CCUACGGGGGGCAGCAGUGGGGAAUAUUGCACAAUGGGGGAAAGCCUGAUGCAGCAACGCCGCGUGAAGGAUGAAGGCCUUCGGGUUGUAAAGUUCUGUCCUAGGGGAAGAUAAUGACGGUACCCUUGGAGGAAGCCCCGGCUAACUACGUGCCAGCAGCCGCGGUAAUACGUAGGGGGCGAGCGUUAUCCGGAAUUAUUGGGCGUAAAGGGUGCGUAGGUCGCACCUUAAGCGCAGGGUUUAAGGCAAUGGCUCAACCAUUGUUCGCCUUGCGAACUGGGGUGCUUGAGUGCAGGAGGGGAAAGUGGAAUUCCUAGUGUAGCGGUGAAAUGCGUAGAGAUUAGGAAGAACACCAGUGGCGAAGGCGGCUUUCUGGACGAAAACUGACGCUGAGGCGCGAAAGCCAGGGGAGCGAACGGGAUUAGAUACCCCAGUAGUC
RNAcentral lists this ribosomal RNA (439 nucleotides) under Escherichia coli. RNAcentral's name for it is "bacterial SSU rRNA". It matches the Rfam family "Bacterial small subunit ribosomal RNA", at positions 338 to 795 of the family's 1533-position model. Lineage: Bacteria; Pseudomonadati; Pseudomonadota; Gammaproteobacteria; Enterobacterales; Enterobacteriaceae. The record is from RNAcentral.